Molecule: microRNA precursor, 60 nt
Filed under: Scyliorhinus torazame (cloudy catshark)
Lineage: Eukaryota; Metazoa; Chordata; Chondrichthyes; Carcharhiniformes; Scyliorhinidae
Description: Sto-Mir-23-P1_pre stem-loop
Rfam family: mir-23 microRNA precursor family
Source: RNAcentral
GGGAUUCCUGGUGAUGUGAUUUUCGACGAAUCGCAGAAUCACAUUGCCAGGGAUUACCAG